Molecule: ribosomal RNA, 463 nt
Filed under: uncultured bacterium
Lineage: Bacteria
Description: bacterial SSU rRNA
Rfam family: Bacterial small subunit ribosomal RNA
Source: RNAcentral
CCUANGGGUGGCUGCAGUAACGAAUAUUCCGCAAUGGACGAAAGUCUGACGGAGCGACGCCGCGUGUGGGAUGAAGUCCUUCGGGAUGUAAACCACCGUCAGGGGCUGCCAAGCGAAGGGAGAUAACAUCUCCCGGAGUUGAGGAUCCCCAAAGGAAGCCACGGCAAACUUCGUGCCAGCAGCCGCGGUAAGACGAAGGUGGCAAGCGUUGUUCGGAAUCACUGGGCUUAAAGAGCACGUAGGCGGCCCUGCAAGUGCUUUGUGAAAUCCCCCGGCUCAACCGGGGAAUUGCAUGGCAAACUGCAGGGCUUGAGGCAGGUAGGGGCGAGUGGAACUCUUGGUGGAGCGGUGGAAUGCGUAGAUAUCAAGAGGAACGCCGGUGGUGAAGACGACUCGCUGGGCCUGUCCUGACGCUGAGGUGCGAAAGCCAGGGGAGCAAACGGGAUUAGAUACCCGGNUANUC